This 492-nucleotide ribosomal RNA is filed under the name uncultured bacterium. RNAcentral's name for it is "partial 16S ribosomal RNA". It matches the Rfam family "Bacterial small subunit ribosomal RNA", at positions 29 to 507 of the family's 1533-position model. The record is from RNAcentral.
AGUGAACGCUGGCGGUAGGCCUAACACAUGCAAGUCGAACGGCAGCACAGUAAGAGCUUGCUCUUACGGGUGGCGAGUGGCGGACGGGUGAGGUAUACAUCGGAAUCUACUUUUUCGUGGGGGAUAACGUAGGGAAACUUACGCUAAUACCGCAUACGACCUACGGGUGAAAGCAGGGGAUCUUCGGACCUUGCGCGAUUGAAUGAGCCGAUGUCGGAUUAGCUAGUUGGCGGGGUAAAGGCCCACCAAGGCGACGAUCCGUAGCUGGUCUGAGAGGAUGAUCAGACACACUGGAACUGAGACACGGUCCAGACUCCUACGGGAGGCAGCAGUGGGGAAUAUUGGACAAUGGGCGCAAGCCUGAUCCAGCCAUACCGCGUGAGUGAAGAAGGCCUUCGGGUUGUAAAGCCCUUUUGUUGGGAAAGAAAAGCAGCAGGUUAAUACCCCGCUGUUCUGACGGUACCAAAAGAAUAAGCACCGGCUAACUUCGUG